Molecule: non-coding RNA, 136 nt
Organism: Gossypium raimondii (Peruvian cotton)
Lineage: Eukaryota; Viridiplantae; Streptophyta; Magnoliopsida; Malvales; Malvaceae
Source: Rfam
UGUUAAAACUUAUAUCAAUUUUUACUAUUAAAAACUAGUAUGUCUGACAAAAUAACCAAACAUUGACACGUGACGUGCCAUAUGUACCUCAUGCUAAGACCAAUUUUUAACAGUAGAAUAAAUGAAAUUUUUAGUA